AAAAACGUAACAAGGUUUCCGUAGGUGAACCUGCGCUGUGAGAUCAUAUAACAACUAACAAGUUUUUUUGUAGCUGAAACUUCCGAUGGGAAGUAAAAAAUCGUAACAAGGUUUCCGUAGGUGAACCUGCGGAAGGAUCAUUACCGAGUUCUCGGGCUUCGGCCCGAAUCUCCCACCCUUUGUGAACAUACCUCUGUUGCUUUGGCGGCUCUUGCCGCGUGGAGGCCCUCAAAAGCCCCCCCGCGCGCGCUUCCGCCAGAGGACCAUCAAACUCCAGUCAGUGAACGUCGACGUCUGAAAAAACAAGUUAAUAAACUAAAACUUUCAACAACGGAUCUCUUGGUUCUGGCAUCGAUGAAGAACGCAGCGAAAUGCGAUAAGUAAUGUGAAUUGCAGAAUUCAGUGAAUCAUCGAAUCUUUGAACGCACAUUGCGCCCCUUGGCAUUCCGAGGGGCAUGCCUGUUCGAGCGUCAUUACAACCCUCAAGCUCUGCUUGGUAUUGGGCGCCGUCCUCUCUGCGGACGCGCCUCAAAGACCUCGGCGGCGGCUGUUCAGCCCUCAAGCGUAGUAGAAUACACCUCGCUUUGGAGCGGUUGGCGUCGCCCGCCGGACGAACCUUCUGAACUUUUCUCAAGGUUGACCUCGGAUCAGGUAGGGAUACCCGCUGAACUUUAAGCAUAUCAAUAGGCGCGGAGCGUCUUAUAUCAGGUGGGAUUACCCGCUGAACUUAAGCAUAUCAUAGGAGCUUAGAAAAAAGU
RNAcentral lists this ribosomal RNA (758 nucleotides) under Diplodia mutila. RNAcentral describes it as "eukaryotic LSU rRNA". The stretch from base 320 to 473 matches the Rfam family "5.8S ribosomal RNA". Lineage: Eukaryota; Fungi; Ascomycota; Dothideomycetes; Botryosphaeriales; Botryosphaeriaceae. The record is from RNAcentral.